RNAcentral lists this ribosomal RNA (253 nucleotides) under uncultured bacterium. Its description in RNAcentral is "partial 16S ribosomal RNA". It matches the Rfam family "Bacterial small subunit ribosomal RNA", at positions 524 to 776 of the family's 1533-position model. The record is from RNAcentral.
UACGAAGGUGGCGAAUGUUGUUCGGAUUUACUGGGCGUAAAGCGUCCGCAGGUGGUUGGUUAAGUCAGGUGUGAAAGCCCCGCGCUCAACGUGGGAAUUGCACUUGAAACUGACUGACUAGAAGACAAGAGAGGGGGGCGGAAUUACCGGUGUAGAAGUGAAAUUCGUAGAUAUCGGUAGGAACACCCAUGGCGAAGGCAGCUCCCUGGCUUGCUCUUGACACUCAUGGACGACAGCGUGGGGAUCAAACAGG